This is a long non-coding RNA of Zalophus californianus (California sea lion), 399 nucleotides long. RefSeq lists it as uncharacterized. The record is from RefSeq and is a predicted model, not a curated record. The transcript is spliced from 3 exons. NCBI's taxonomy places the organism in Eukaryota, Metazoa, Chordata, Mammalia, Carnivora, Otariidae.
UUUUGAUAAGCCAUCCCUUUAUUUCAACAUGUGUCACAUGGAAAAAUUCGUCAAGUGCCUCAGGGCCAGCUGAUCCUCAUCAGGAACUAUCACUCGGAAAGCUGAAAGUAGGCAGGUGCAUCAAGAUCUUGGCCUACCAUUCACCCUCUAAUAAUAAAAGCUCCAGGAAAGUACAUGGUAGGAUUGAGCUUGUUUUCUCCCCAUGUGACCCGUUCUGGGAGUGCUGGGAAGCUUUAAGAGAUAGUACAGAAUUCACUACACAUUCUUUCCACCUGCCUUGGUGAACAACAGCCUUCAAGAUGAGGUCAACUCCAUCAGCCUGGGCCCUGGAGUAAGGACACAUGAGCCAGGAUCUCCAGUCAACUCCUGAUGGGCAAGUGAUUUAAAUAAAAAAUAAAC